AAUAAUUACACUAACCCCCUCUAUCUCUAGAACAAAAAGAACAACCGCUCUUCCGAUUUAGGGCUUCCCUUCUCUUCGCCGGUUCGCCUCCUCUCUCUCUCUCUCGAUCUCGAUAGAUGGAGAUGGAAGCGAAGGAGGAACAAAGAGAGAACGAAGUGAUUCCUUCAUCGGACGAGAGCCGUUCCGUCAGCGAUGACCAUCAUCUUGUGCUUUCCGGAGUCUGGAUUGGAUUGAUUUCUCAGGUAAGUAAUAAAUCUUAAAAUAAUCUUUGUAAAUGUAAUUUUUGGUUCUAGAGCUCGACUUCUUGAAGUGAUUACUACCAAAAUCGAUCGUUCUUCAUGCCUUCUUCGUAAUAGACCGAUUCGAGCUCGAAACAAGCAUAAUCGAAGGCUGAGAUGCGCGAUUUGGGUUUGAAAAGGUCCACAUGGUGUCCGAGAGUACUCAAAUCGUUGGAAUACAGUUCGAAUUAGGUGCGAAAAACUUUGAUUCAGCGAAAUAGGGCUAGAUUUAGGGCUACGAAGCCUGGCUGGCUGUGAUAUGGAGAUUUAGGGUCCCGAUUUGGCAAUUGGUUCCAGCUCGCCUUCGAAGGUUGGUUGUGAUGCUUUGGAUUUUUAGGCUUAUUCUUGUGUGUGUGUGUGUGUGUGUGUGUGUGCCGGUUGCGUUUUUAGGUGGUUUAUGUGAGUUCGGUUUGUUUUUGUGACCAUCAAAUUCUGUGUGUUUCCUGGGUGCGUUUUGAGGUGCUCCGGCUGUUGUUUCUCUGCAAUUAUCUGUAUGUUUCUCGAUGUUUUCCUCUCUUUUUUUCUUUUCGCUCCAACGGAUCUAGGUUUCACUGGUCAGGGAUGGGUAUCUACUUAGGGUCGCGAUGAAGGAUGGUUUGGCGAGGGCACAAAAAGCUUGGUUUGGUGUUACGAAAUUAUAAAAUCCUUACUUUGGCUAUGGAAUUACUUGUAUAAAUUCUGUGUUUGUGAAUACUAGUUCCUGAAAAUCCAUCGUCAUGCUAACAUUUUGGUCACUAUGUAGGCACAAAACAAGAAAGGAGAAGGGAUUCAAACUGCGCAUUUCGAAAUGUUGAGUUGUACUCAAAGUUGGUGGAAAACGGGACACAUGCAAUGUUUUCGGGUGCGCUGCAUGUGUUAGAGCACGGAAGCAGUUGAGCAUACACGAGGCGCCGAAUAUCUUGACAAUUGUUUUGAAGAGAUUUCAAUUUUCAGGUACUAUUAUCUGCUCUAGGUCUACAUUGUUUUCUGAAGUUCUUUUCAUUACGACAUUAAAGGUAUUAUGUUGGUGAGUAUGAUGUAAGUUGCCCUUUCCAAUUACGUGUGACUAAGACAUGACUGUGGUGAUUUGUAUCUCUCUCUCUCUAUGGUGCGUGUGUGUUUAUACACUUAAUUAGCUUGACUUGACUUGACUUGUCAGCUGUAUCUUGUUGUUACUGUAGUAAUUCUUCGCCUCUAUCAUUUUAUUUUCUCCUUAGGUAACAAAAGUUUCAUACUAGAUUCAACAUUUUGUUACUAUCACUCAUCGGGGUGUAUACUUAUCCGGGCAGAUUCAACAUUCUGUUACUAUCACUUUGAAUGAUUCUCAAAUGUUCCCAAGUCAUUCCCUCUCCUACCUUUUUAUUAUUCAACAUGGAUAAGAGUUGGAUAAAUUUGCCUAGGUUCGAUCUAAGAUACCUACAAUGGGUCAUAAAUUUUAUGGAAUUUGCAUGUUAGAACAUUCUUGAUGGGCAAACAGAAAUUGCUUGUCCUUGUAAGAAAUGCCAUAAUGUGGCUAGAGUGAAGAUGGAUUUAGUAAAGGAACAUGUCAUCUGAAUAUUGUAUGGUUUUAGAUGGUUUCUUGGUCAUUCUUUAUGAAAAAGCCAAAAUUCUAUGAAAUUGGAAUAUCAUGAGAGAGCCAAGCAAUGGAAAUGGUUCGCUAUCAAUCAAUACGAGUGAGACAAAUUACCCCUUUUACCCAAAAAGGAAUGAGAGAGGGACUUUCGAGGAGAAUGACAAUUUCCUCUAUUAAUCGCCAACGGGUGCUUUUCCAUUACCAUGCAUAUCACCAUUAGAAGGUACUGGUGUAAUGCUUGUUUGUGCUAGUGGAAACAUGAAAGCAACCAUUACGGUGAGUGAUUUUGUUUUGUUCUUUAGUUUAAAUUUGCACUCGUCUUUGGCUUUUCCUUAUGAAUUCAUUACUGUCUUUGUUUUGCAGCUUGGUUUCUCUUAGUUUAUUGUAACAAAAUCCUCAUAGAGUUGGUGUAAAGAGUAAAUAUUGAUUUAGUUUUGGUAUCCCUGAACAGUCGAAGGGUUAGUGAAAGAAUGGCCUCAUUACCCUACCCACAAUCAAAGGGUUGGAUGUAAAAAAGCAUCAAUUGUUAAUGGGGCUCUUCUCAAAAACCGUUGGGGUACGAAAGAUGUAAUACUUGGUAUUGUCUCUCUUCUCUCUAUAGAUUAUUAGUGUACAAUUGGAGCUUCAACUCUAUAAGCAAUCUGAUCAUGUAGAGAAAAAUAUUUAUCACAAUCCCACAUUUUUCUUUUUUCAUGUCAUUGACUAGAAAAGUCUGUUAGUUGAAGUGAAGUCCAUUAAAUAAAUGAGGGACAAUUAGAGUCAAAGUUUAUACUAAUGGUACCCAAAGCAACCAUGUAUCUUGUGAUUUUGAGAGUUGUGUUUGGUUCUUCAAUAUGUAGUUCUCAGAGCCCAUGGUAUGCAACAGAUACAUAUGGAUGUGCUGAUUUGUUUAUGGAUAUAUCACUUCAUAUUUAAACUGCAUUUUGUGAGUUUGUAGGGUGGAGUGUUGUGAGAUAGGAUCUGCAUUUUGUUGCUUUACUUACUCUACCUGUUGUGGUCUUCUUUUGUUAUUGUUCCUUUUGUGGGUUGAUUCCAGUUAGUAAGCAUGAUUUGAGGUCAACUAUUAUUCAUUUAUGUGAUUGUCUAUUUUCCAGACUUAAUAAGCACUAAUUACAGAUACUUGCCACAUUUACAGACCAUGUUCGCGGUUGAUCAGUACUGAGGGUGGAGUCCAAUGCACAGUGAUAUGCCUUACCCAAGAAACAAAUGUCUUCCACUCCCUGCAUAUUUAGGUACUUUUUGGGUCGGUUUUAUGAAUACAAAGCACUUUCAAUAUGAAAAAGAAAUCCAGACUAUCACGUGCUUAUUUGAUAUGGGCGUCUAAAAAUCAUGAAAGGCAGUAAGCAGAUAGUUGCCUUUUCAGUUAGGUAUAUCUAUUGCUUGAAUUUCUGUUUAAGUAUCAAUUCAAAAUAAUUCCAUCUAUUGCUUGUGGCAUUUUUGUUUUAUGUCGAUUGUCGGUUCUUUUCCAUUCGUGGUUUUAUUAAGAUAAAUUAUACACGUGGAUGGAAGUAAAGGAUGCUUUUUAUAACAUCUGUAUUUGGCGUGUUUUGGAUGGAUUUUGUUAUGCAAUAUGCUUUAGAGUAAUUAUAAUGUGCAAGAGUCUUCUAUUUUGUCGGGCCUUUUUGGCAACCAUUGUGGUGGAGAACAUACAUGAUGCAAUGUACUUGAGUUCCAUUUCAUUGGAAAAUUGCAAGUGUGGAACUGCAGGGGGUUUGGUGAACUUCUUGGGUACAAUGGAAUCAAGGUAGAUUAUAGGUGAAUGUUCUGGUGUAUCCAUUUGUAUGGUACCGAGAAAUGAGCAGCUAAUUUUCCAUAAAUAUAAUUUAAUUUCCUUUCAGGUCAAUUAUAAAAUUUUAAGCACUUCUGCCUACCUCUUGCAGGUGGCUCUUCCUCGAGAGUCUUCCACUGGAAAGAGAUUAAAGAUUUGGGUUGCUAGUUUUGCUAGUUUAGAUUGCAAAUAACCAUGUUUUUUUUAGGAAUGCAAGCCUUCCUUUAUUCUGUUAACUUUUUUUUAAUUAUUUCUCCUCCAUCAGUUUAAACUAAUUUCUCUUUUCUAUAUGAUUCUUAGGGUGUCCGGGAAUCUCAUCCAUGUUUGGCAGAAGCAAUACUAUAGUUCCAUGGUUGAAGAAUUUUUUUUCUUUAUCCUAGUUGUGCUUUGUGUGAAUGUAGAUUGUGGACAUGAUGUAAUAUGAUGUUGGGAUGUUGCUAAAUUUUUUGUUAGAUAUUUCAAUCCUAUGGAUUAUUAAUGAAUUUGAAUGGGUAUAUGAGUAUUCCUC
Long non-coding RNA from Rhododendron vialii, 4106 nucleotides. RefSeq lists it as uncharacterized. The transcript is spliced from 2 exons. NCBI's taxonomy places the organism in Eukaryota, Viridiplantae, Streptophyta, Magnoliopsida, Ericales, Ericaceae. The record is from RefSeq and is a predicted model, not a curated record.